Molecule: microRNA, 17 nt
Filed under: Populus x canadensis (hybrid black poplar)
Lineage: Eukaryota; Viridiplantae; Streptophyta; Magnoliopsida; Malpighiales; Salicaceae
Description: PC-3p-1909651_1
Source: RNAcentral
ACUCAUAAUGUUGCAAC